GACGAACGCUGGCGGCGUGCUUAACACAUGCAAGUCGUACGGUAAGGCCCUUUCGGGGGUACACGAGUGGCGAACGGGUGAGUAACACGUGAGUAACCUGCCCACAACUUUGGGAUAACGCUAGGAAACUGGUGCUAAUACUGGAUAUGUUCUCCUGCUGCAUGGUGGGGGUUGGAAAGCUCCGGCGGUUGUGGAUGGACUGGCGGCCUAUCAGCUUGUUGGUGGGGUAGUGGCCUACCAAGGCGGCGACGGGUAGCCGGCCUGAGAGGGUGACCGGCCACAUUGGGACUGAGAUGCGGCCCAGACUCCUACGGGAGGCAGCAGUGGGGAAUAUUGCACAAUGGGCGCAAGCCUGAUGCAGCAACGCCGCGUGCGGGAUGACGGCCUUCGGGUUGUAAACCGCUUUCAGCAGGGACGAAGCUUUUUGUGACGGUACCUGCAGAAGAAGCACCGGCUAACUACGUG
RNAcentral lists this ribosomal RNA (465 nucleotides) under uncultured bacterium. RNAcentral's name for it is "partial 16S ribosomal RNA". It matches the Rfam family "Bacterial small subunit ribosomal RNA", at positions 28 to 507 of the family's 1533-position model. The record is from RNAcentral.